This is a non-coding RNA of Penaeus vannamei (Pacific white shrimp), 1643 nucleotides long. Lineage: Eukaryota; Metazoa; Arthropoda; Malacostraca; Decapoda; Penaeidae. The record is from RefSeq and is a predicted model, not a curated record.
AUCUUAGGCGACAGCAAUGCUGAGGGUCGCGCCUCUGGUAGUGCUGUUGGCUGCGGCCGCACAGGCGCAGUGGGAUCCCAACUCUAGCAAUGGACAGGUUAUCGUCCACUUGUUUGAGUGGAAGUGGCCGGACAUCGCCGCGCGAAUGCGAGAACUUCUUGGCUCCCCGAGGAUUCGCCGGCGUUCAGGUAUCACCACCCACUGAAUGUCUGGUAGCAUACCAGGGAGAUGUGCAGCGGCCGUGGUGGGAGAGGUACCAGCCGGUGUCCUACAAGAUCGUCUCUCGCUCUGGCGACGAAAACGCCUUCAAGGACAUGAUAACUCGAUGCAACAACGUGGGAGUAAGGAUCUACGUCGACAUCGUGGUGAAUCACAUGACCGGUUGGUGGCCAGCGGGCACAGGAAGCACCGGUGGGUCCUCCUUUGACUCAGGCGCACAGUCCUACCCCGGUGUCCCUACUCCGGUUUUGAUUUCAACCGACGCCAACUGCCACACCGGAUCCGGUGACAUCGAAAACUACGGCGACGCCAAUCAGGUACGCAACUGCAAGUUGUCCGGGAUGAACGACCUGAACCAAGGCACUGACUACGUGCGAGGCAAGAUCAGGGACUACCUCAACACCCUUAUCAGCUUCGGUGUCGCCGGCUUCCGCGUCGACGCCAGUAAGCACAUGUGGCCUGGGGACAUGAAGGCCAUUUUCGAUAGCCUGGACGACCUCAGUCCAGAUAUCUACGGGGUCGGUGCCAGACCCUUCAUCGUCCAAGAAGUCAUUGAUCUGGGCGGCGAGGCCAUAUCCAGCGAAGAAUACGUCGGUAAGGACGUGUAACGGAGUUUCGGUACGGCAAGUACCUGGGCGAGGCAUUCCGCGGCAACAACCAGCUGAAGUACCUCAACAACUUCGGCGAAGGCUGGGGCAUGAUGCACAGGGCCAACUCACUCGUCUUCAUUGACAACCACGACAACCAGCGCGGCCAUGGUGCCGGAGGAGACAUGAUCCUUACCUUCCGUGUCCCUAAAUGGUACAAGAUGGCCAACGCAUUCAUGUUGGGUUGGCCUUACGGCUACACGCGCGUGAUGUCGUCGUACUACUGGGACCAAUGGUGGGAGAAUGGCCAGGAUAAGAACGACUGGGUCGGACCUCCUCACGACGACAGCUUCAACAUCAUCAGCCCGAGCUUCAACGCCGACGGCAGCUGCGGGAACGGCUGGAUCUGCGAGCACCGCUGGAGGCAGAUCUACAACAUGGUGGAGUUCCGGAAUGUUGCCCAUGGGACGGACAUGAACGACUGGUGGGACAACGGCAGCAACCAGAUCGCCUUCUGCAGAGGCAACAAGGGCUUCCUGGCCAUCAACAACGACGGAUGGGAUCUGAAGGAGACGCUGCAGUCAACUUGCCUUCCUGCGGGUACGUACUGCGACGUCAUCUCCGGGUCGAAGGACGGAGGCUCCUGCACGGGCAAGAGCGUGACUGUGGGCGGCGACGGAAAGGCCUACAUCGAGAUCACGACCAUGGAAGACGACGGCGUGCUUGCUAUCCAUGCCAACUCCAAGCUGUGAGAUCUGUCCUCAUGCUAACUGUAGGAUAUCGUGAAUGAUGAUGUACUACUUAAAAAUCUUUGAAUAAUAUAACCAAUGAAACCUG